Molecule: ribosomal RNA, 251 nt
Filed under: uncultured bacterium
Lineage: Bacteria
Description: partial 16S ribosomal RNA
Rfam family: Bacterial small subunit ribosomal RNA
Source: RNAcentral
UACGGGGGGGCAAGCGUUGUUCGGAAUUACUGGGCGUAAAGGCUUGUAGGUGGCCAACUAAGUCAGACGUGAAAUUCCUCGGCUUAACCGGGGAACUGCGUCUGAUACUGGAUGGCUUGAGUGUGGGAGAGGGAUGCGGAAUUCCGAGGUGUAGCGGUGAAAUGCGUGAGAUAUCUGGAGGAACACCGGUGGCGAAGGCGGCAUCCUGGACCAUUACUGACACUGAAAAGCGAAGCCAGGGAGCAAACGGG